This is a non-coding RNA of Lolium perenne, 4166 nucleotides long. The record is from RefSeq and is a predicted model, not a curated record. NCBI's taxonomy places the organism in Eukaryota, Viridiplantae, Streptophyta, Magnoliopsida, Poales, Poaceae.
AAAGUUUGAUUUCUUUGCUACCAACGCUUGGUGUUUCCUCGUGGUGUGGCCGUAGCCAUAGUCUGGUUGGGACAGCGGUGGCCUCUUUCAAUGAUUUACACGUAACUAUUCACCGCUUUGACUGGUUUGGUGUUUCAGUCUCUAGAAGCCGAACCCACCAGAAACCCCAUUCUCCCUCUUUCUUCUCAUGUUUCUUUCCAUGGUGUCACACACGGUCUCUCGAGUCUCCACCGACGAACUUCUCCGGCGAGCCAUCCUGCUCCACCCAUGAUGGAGAGUACUAGCGCCGGUGGGGAGCACCAAGGGAGCAGCGGCUCGGCCUUGUGGCGGCGGAUUCAGGUGGAGCAACCCGGGACGAGCCAAUGGCGAGGUGCAGCCGGUCUGGCCGCGUACGUCCACAUCGAGCUGCGUCCGCCGCAGGAGCAAAGGAGAGUACUACGCCGGAGGAGGGUAGCAGGGGAGGAGCGGCGCCGGUGUGGCAACGACGGAUUCGGGUGGAGCAGGCUAGGACGAGCUGCUGGCGAGGUGCAACAGUGUGGUCGCGGACGUCAGCGUCGACCUGUGGCCACCGCGGGAGCAGAGGGGAGUACUAGCGCCGGAGAAGAGCAGCAGUGGAGGAGCGACGCCAGCGAGGCGGCGGCAAUUUCAGGUGGAGCACGAUCUGCAUCGACAACUGAUGGAACUGCAAUGCCGCGAGGAUCGAGGAGUCGAAGGGCAACAUGGAGCGGCGGUCGUCGGGGUGGCUGGCGCAAAUUUUUCCUCGCCCAAGCUCUCCCCUGGUCGAUCUCCUCAGCUUCUGGUGGCCGUAACGUGGGUCAGUUCCUGCUCUGGUGUCGCGGUCGUCACCGAUGUGCUCGGGCAUUGCCACAAACUUUCCCCACGCCCAGAUGAUGGAGAUCGAUACAUGGAACAAUUUGCAGUCGAUUACAAUACUCUAGCUAGCAGACAUUAUGAAACAUCAACCAUAUCAUGUCCACCAGAAAAAGUUCAGAUUAUCAUUCCAUUUAGUUCUACCGGAGAAUAACAAGGUCAUUCGUCUAGACCAUCACCUUCAUCUUUCUCCGCCAUAGAUCAAGGUAACAUAACUAUGCACUUAGAUAAUGUUAUUUAUCUUUUCUACAUACAUACAUCAGUACUGUAGCUAUCAGACAUUAUUAACCAUAUCAGUCCACCAGGAGUUCACAUUAUCUUUCCAUUUAGUUUUAACCAAGAUCAACACCAUUGUCCGUCUAGAUCAUCACCACCAUCACUCUCACCCUAGAUCAAGGUAAUAGAUGGUUGGGUCAUAAUAUAUACGUCUUUUUCUACUAUGAUGUUCUUGGAGAUACAGUCCGAGGUCCCAAGAUGCAAACUAGCCACUUUCUUGGAAACCUGGUCAAAUGAUACAUUAACAUGCCUUGCCGAUAACAAGUAUUUUUUUACUGGAGGUUGUGAGAAAAACAAUGGUAUGCACUAAUACUUAAUAACUCACCGUAGAGAUGAGAGAUCUUUGUAAGGUUCAUCAUGUCAGUCUGGUGUGCCAUUUUACAGUUCUCACAGGAUACCUAAUCUAGAUUAUAUCUCAAAACUCCUGUUGUUUCUUAUUUAAUUGGUGACCAAUGUUUUGUUAAAUGUGCAGUUGAUUGACUAUGAAGGAUGGAUGAGUUGUUCCCAUUUUAUCUGUUUUUUUUCUUAUUUAAUUGGUGACCCAUGUUUUGUUGAAGUUGUAGUUGAUUGGCUAUGUAGGAAGGAUGAGUUGUUCCAGUUUUAUGGGUACUCUGAAAAGGUUCAUUUGAAAACCUUCUUCAUGAUCCUCAAAGCAACGGUGAUCUAUGGCCAAGAAUCCUCUCCUUUGUAUCAGAGCCUGGUGUAACUAGGAACUGACCAAAACAUUGAUUGUUGCAUAAAGAGCUACCUCAUGUGUGACACGAAUUAACUCUCUCUUCACCUUGGUGACCUUCAGCCUAGACAUCGACUGCAUAAUCACUCUCAAAAUUAAAUGGACGAUGGCACCAGGAGCAGUAAGGUCGAUGCCCUCUUUGAGAGCAUUCAGGCAAUUCACAAAGGUGCAGCCAGCUGAGAAGAUCAUGCUGCAGUCAAUUUCUUGCCACUACACCGAGGCUGGCUUCCCCAGUUGCUUCAGAAAACUAGGUUGUCUCUAAUGCUGGACAUAUAUUUGUAUGUAUGCCUACAAUUUUAGUGUGCUUCUCUGACCCUAGGUGGCUGUAGGAAGUGUCUUCAAUUCCGAACCAUUUUUAGAUGCAUUUUGAUUGUUCAUGUGCUAUGGAUAACCCAUGAUUUAAUCAUACAUCUGUCUCAAAACUAUAUUAGCUAUGAGUAUGGAGCCGAAGUUAUAAACAGAUGGAAAUAUAUAGAAAAUCAUUUCAGAAAUUUCUGAAAUGACCUACUCAUCGUAUACAACUGCAACUGGGCAUGUGCAAGUAAUAUGAACGCAGUAGUUAUUUUAGGAAAAAAAUCUAAUUUUAAAGAAACAGGACUAUCAUGUUUUCAAGACCCGAAGAGCAUGCAUGUUUCAUGUUUGCCAGGCCUAAUAUAUUUAGGUGUAAUUAAUUCAUGAAAAUUAAACUAUCCAUGUGUUUUUUUAGCCGGCCAAAUGCAUGCUUAAUAUUAUACAUGAUAUGUUCAUGGUUUUAAGGCGUCGCCUAAACGACGCCUAAGCGUCCAAGCGCUCCCCCUCAGCCUUAGAAAAACGCUCGCCUUAGGCACCUAGGCGUCGCCUAAGCAUCGGAGCGCCCCCCCUCGCCUUAGGAUACCUUGGCGCCUUCAAAACCAUGGAUAUGUUCAUGCAAAGUUUGAAUAUAUAAAGAUGAUAUUUAUGCUCUGUCUUUGGGAGGUGAACUAAACAUAAUCUUCCUGCUCCUUUUUUGCUCGCUUGAAUAUUUGUAGCCAUGAAUGAUUUCUACAGAUCAGAUGAUCCAUUAAAUAAAUUUCACUUACCUAUAUAAAAUCAACUUUAAUAUAGAAAGUGUAUGCAUGCAAUGUUGGAACAUUUCCUAUUGUAAUUGCUAUUUCACAUAAAACUGACAUUUUGAUCAUAAGAUUUGCGUCAGCUCAGUUCAAUGCAUACUGAGCAAUCCUAUACUUUUGAUUGCAUUUUACUUGAUAAUCUGCAUUCACAAUGAGAUCACCAAAAUAUAGACAUUACCAUGUGUUCUAGGAUUUAUCUUCCUUUCCCAGAUAUUGAUCCUUUAGGUGUUUUAUUGUUAUUUUAUACUGGACAUAAUCCCUUCAAAAGUCAUUCGCAUUGAUGCAACAUAUGCAUAGUUAGGGGCCAUUGAUACCAUGGAAGAAAGACAUGUCAAUCUUUUAGUAUGAUUAUAUUUAGCAUUUCCCUGCCCUACAAGCAACUCUGAUGUGAAGAAUUAUUAAUUUAGUAUCAGUUGUUGGCCUCACUAGCAAUACUUCAACACUGAAGAUGGCAGUUAGAAUGCUGCCAAUGCUUGAAUUAUUGGCUUCACAAAAAAAUGUUAGGAAAUAUGGCAGUACAAAUCAGUAGGAGAUAUCUUUAUUAUUGUUAUAUCACAUAAAACUUAAUAUUGUACCCUUACUUCUGAACUAUUUUGCCGCACUUCAGGUUUGGCCGUUCCUAACACCCCUUGGUUGUGUAGAGUCAGUUAGGGUCAUAGAGAGGCCAACAUGAGAUCUUCUCAGCUUUAUGGAGGUGGCCAACAUAGGGGGCAUCAUCGAGCAGGCUAGCGGCCACAACCGACCACAACCAAUGCUCAAAAGCUCCAUCCAGGGAUGCUCAACAUCCUCCAACAGAAUAACAAAUCCAUAACUCCAACAACGACUAAAGAAGAAGAUCAAUACAGUGAUGGUCCUUCCACGAUGAAGCAGACUUCACACCUCCAUUUCUUUAGUAAAGGCCUACAACUCAUCAUACUUUCCUCCAUCAAUGAGGACACUGACGCCAAGCACUCAUGCCUCGAGGACCAAACAACAACACUACCAUUCAUACCAUCCUACUAUGCUAUUUCAUCCAGGCAUGUAUUGCCAAAAACAUGUUGUGCUUUAGGUGAAGUAGGAUCUGAUGUCUUCUACAUAUACCAUAUGUAAGACGAUGUGAUUAACUAUGUAGUCAGAUCUAAUUAUGUAUUAGUGAAUGCACUACUUAUCCAAGGGAUCCCAUGAACUAUGUAAUUAAGUCUAAUUAUAUAUCACCGCUA